AUAUCUCUCCGUACGGGAAGGAUGAGAAGCUUCGACUAAGGUUCGAUUCGAGCGCAGCGAGAACGCGUUGCCGCAGGCAACGACCCGAAGGGCGAAGCGCGCAGCGCUGAGUCAUCC
RNAcentral lists this small RNA (117 nucleotides) under Salmonella enterica subsp. enterica serovar Heidelberg. RNAcentral describes it as "partial RtT sRNA". It matches the Rfam family "RtT RNA", at positions 1 to 116 of the family's 130-position model. Rfam says of the family: This family represents a bacterial cis-regulatory element known as RtT RNA. The exact function of RtT is unknown although it is thought that it may be involved in changing the cellular response in relation to amino acid starvation. Lineage: Bacteria; Pseudomonadati; Pseudomonadota; Gammaproteobacteria; Enterobacterales; Enterobacteriaceae. The record is from RNAcentral. RNAcentral also lists the same sequence under 2 other names.